GCCCCGGUAGCUCAGUUGGUAGAGCACUGGCCUGAAGAGCCUGGUGUCGCCCGUUCAAUCCGGGCCUGGGGCACCA
Molecule: transfer RNA, 76 nt
Filed under: Gammaproteobacteria bacterium HGW-Gammaproteobacteria-1
Lineage: Bacteria; Pseudomonadati; Pseudomonadota; Gammaproteobacteria
Description: tRNA-Phe
Rfam family: tRNA
About the family: Transfer RNA (tRNA) molecules are approximately 80 nucleotides in length. Their secondary structure includes four short double-helical elements and three loops (D, anti-codon, and T loops). Further hydrogen bonds mediate the characteristic L-shaped molecular structure. tRNAs have two regions of fundamental functional importance: the anti-codon, which is responsible for specific mRNA codon recognition, and the 3' end, to which the tRNAs corresponding amino acid is attached (by aminoacyl-tRNA synthetases). tRNAs cope with the degeneracy of the genetic code in two manners: having more than one tRNA (with a specific anti-codon) for a particular amino acid; and 'wobble' base-pairing, i.e. permitting non-standard base-pairing at the 3rd anti-codon position.
Source: RNAcentral